GUGUGGGUUAUGAAUGGAUAGAAUUUAGUCAGAUAAGAGAGAGGAGGGGUUUGUAGGAUUAGGGUGGCCUUUAGGGUAGGGUAUCCGAACCGUAUUCCCUAAUGGUGCGCUACAUUCAAUCCCCCUGGCACUUUAGACCCCAAUCGGAAUAUCCAUCGCCGUUCCAUGGUCUUUCUCUCUCUCUCUGUCCACAGGAUAUUCCUUUGUAAUCCCGCUACCCUCAACGCUCCCAAUCCAUGGAUCAAGAAAUGCUGAACCAGUGGAUAUUCCUUUGUAAUCCCGCUACCCUCAACGCUCCCAAUCCAUGGAUCAAGAAAUGCUGAACCAGUGGUGUGUGUAAAUCUUUCUUGUGGUUCACAUUAUAUCUGUGUUGUGUGAUGCGGGUCAUCAAUGUGUUGGAAGUUUCCCCGACAUACUGCAGUCCACACUUCUUGCACAAUAUGAGAUAGACACAGUUGGUUGAUUUGGGACUAAAUCCUUGUUCAAUUUUAAUGAUUGUUUUAUCCACUGCAUUCCUGACGAAUUUGAGUUUAAUAAAAUAUUUGCUCAAUG
Phyllopteryx taeniolatus (common seadragon) is the source of this 552-nucleotide long non-coding RNA. RefSeq lists it as uncharacterized. NCBI's taxonomy places the organism in Eukaryota, Metazoa, Chordata, Actinopteri, Syngnathiformes, Syngnathidae. The record is from RefSeq and is a predicted model, not a curated record. The transcript is spliced from 2 exons.